CCGGUGCUGCAUGGCUGUCGUCAGCUCGUGUUGUGAAAUGUUGGGUUAAGUCCCGCAACGAGCGCAACCCUUAUCCUUUGUUGCCAGCGAUUCGGUCGGGAACUCAAAGGAAACUGCCGGUGAUAAACCGGAGGAAGGGGGGGAUGACGUCAAGUCAUCAUGGCCCUUACGAGUAGGGCUACACACGUGCUACAAUGGCGCAUACAAAGAGAAGCGACCUCGCGAGAGCAAGCGGACCUCACAAAGUGCGUCGUAGUCCGGAUCGGAGUCUGCAACUCGACUCCGUGAAGUCGGAAUCGC
This 300-nucleotide ribosomal RNA is filed under the name uncultured Gammaproteobacteria bacterium. Its description in RNAcentral is "bacterial SSU rRNA". It matches the Rfam family "Bacterial small subunit ribosomal RNA", at positions 1035 to 1335 of the family's 1533-position model. Lineage: Bacteria; Pseudomonadati; Pseudomonadota; Gammaproteobacteria. The record is from RNAcentral.